Molecule: ribosomal RNA, 409 nt
Filed under: Verrucomicrobiota bacterium
Lineage: Bacteria; Pseudomonadati; Verrucomicrobiota
Description: Verrucomicrobia bacterium partial 16S ribosomal RNA
Rfam family: Bacterial small subunit ribosomal RNA
Source: RNAcentral
GGGGGAAUAUUGCACAAUGGGCGGAAGCCUGAUGCAGCGACGCCGCGUGAGGGAUGACGGCCUUCGGGUUGUAAACCUCUUUCAGUAGGGACGAAGCGUAAGUGACGGUACCUGCAGAAGAAGCACAGGCUAACUACGUGCCAGCAGCCGCGGUAAUACGUAGGGUGCGAGCGUUGUCCGGAAUUACUGGGCGUAAAGAGCUCGUAGGCGGUUUGUCACGUCGUCUGUGAAAUCCUAGGGCUUAACCCUGGACGUGCAGGCGAUACGGGCUGACUUGAGUACUACAGGGGAGACUGGAAUUUCUGGUGUAGCGGUGGAAUGCACAGAUAUCAGGAAGAACACCGAUGGCGAAGGCAGGUCUCUGGGUAGUAACUGACGCUGAGGAGCGAAAGCAUGGGUAGCGAACAGG